This 324-nucleotide ribosomal RNA is filed under the name Triticum aestivum (bread wheat). RNAcentral describes it as "partial small subunit ribosomal RNA". The record is from RNAcentral. Lineage: Eukaryota; Viridiplantae; Streptophyta; Magnoliopsida; Poales; Poaceae.
AUGAAGCUGAACAACGAGACGGUGACCAUCGAGCUCAAGAAUGGCACCACCGUCCACGGCACCAUCAUUGGCGUCGACAUCAGCAUGAAUACUCAUCUGAAGACUGUCAAGCUCACACUGAAAGGGAAGAAUCCUGUUACCCUUGACCACCUUAGUGUGAGGGGAAACAACAUUCGAUAUUACAUCCUUCCUGACAGCUUAAACCUGGAGACGUUGCUGGUUGAGGAAACACCAAGGGUGAAGCCUAAGAAGCCUACUGCAGGGAAACCUAUGGGUCGUGGGCGCGGCCGUGGUCGUGGGCGCGGUCGUGGCAGGGGGCGCUGA